UGCCUUGCAAUGCGUCAUAAUUAUCUGGACUACUAACUUACUUCCAUAUAACUUCGAAAACAGACAAUAAUCUAUUUCAUUGGAUGAGAUUGGGCUCACGGAUUUUUUAAUGGAUUGGACAAGAAAUAUAGAAAAAUAUAAACAGUUACAAAAGAAAUGAGCGCAAAACAAGAUAAACAGAAUACAACAAGGCCUAAAUGGUCAGCUAUCUUGGUUUUUAUGAUCAUCAACAGGUCCUGCAGGUCUAUACUGAAGAGGAAUUUUAAUUGUUAAUACUUUUCUACAUAAUGUGCU
This is a long non-coding RNA of Mytilus trossulus (common blue mussel), 294 nucleotides long. RefSeq lists it as uncharacterized. The transcript has 3 exons. Lineage: Eukaryota; Metazoa; Mollusca; Bivalvia; Mytilida; Mytilidae. The record is from RefSeq and is a predicted model, not a curated record.